GCUGGGUGUGGUGGCACGUGCCUGUAGUCCUGGCUACUUGGAAGGCUGAGGCUGUAGGAUCUCUUGAGGCCAGGAGUUCUGGGCUGCAGCGCUCUAUGCCGAUCGGGUGUCCGCACUAAGUUCGGCAUCAAUAUGGUGACCUCCCGGGAAUGGGGGCCCACCAGGUUGCCUAAGGAGGGCUGAACUGGCCCAGGUGGGAAAUGGAGCAGGUCAAAACUCCCGUGCUGAUCAGUAGUGGGAUCGCGCCUGUGAAUAGCCACCACACUCCAGCCUGGGCAACAUAGCAAGACCCAGUCUCUU
This is an unclassified non-coding RNA of Callithrix jacchus (white-tufted-ear marmoset), 300 nucleotides long. It matches the Rfam family "Metazoan signal recognition particle RNA". From Rfam's summary of the family: The signal recognition particle (SRP) is a universally conserved ribonucleoprotein. It is involved in the co-translational targeting of proteins to membranes. The eukaryotic SRP consists of a 300-nucleotide 7S RNA and six proteins: SRPs 72, 68, 54, 19, 14, and 9. Lineage: Eukaryota; Metazoa; Chordata; Mammalia; Primates; Cebidae. The record is from Ensembl.